GGCCUUGACAUGCAGAGAACUUUCCAGAGAUGGAUUGGUGCCUUCGGGAACUCUGACACAGGUGCUGCAUGGCUGUCGUCAGCUCGUGUCGUGAGAUGGUUGGGUUAACGUCCCGUAACGAGCGCAACCCUUGUCCUUAGUUACCAGCACGUUAUGGUGGGCACUCUAAGGAGACUGCCGGUGACAAACCGGAGGAAGGUGGGGAUGACGUCAAGUCAUCAUGGCCCUUACGGCCUGGGCUACACACGUGCUACAAUGGUCGGUACAAAGGGUUGCCAAGCCGCGAGGUGGAGCUAAUCCCAUAAAACCGAUCGUAGUCCGGAUCGCAGUCUGCAACUCGACUGCGUGAAGUCGGAAUCGCUAGUAAUCGUGAAUCAGAAUGUCACGGUGAAUACGUUCCCGGGCCUU
Molecule: ribosomal RNA, 408 nt
Filed under: uncultured Pseudomonas sp.
Lineage: Bacteria; Pseudomonadati; Pseudomonadota; Gammaproteobacteria; Pseudomonadales; Pseudomonadaceae
Description: bacterial SSU rRNA
Rfam family: Bacterial small subunit ribosomal RNA
Source: RNAcentral